This is a long non-coding RNA of Passer domesticus (house sparrow), 477 nucleotides long. RefSeq lists it as uncharacterized. NCBI's taxonomy places the organism in Eukaryota, Metazoa, Chordata, Aves, Passeriformes, Passeridae. The record is from RefSeq and is a predicted model, not a curated record. The transcript is spliced from 3 exons.
GUGAGGGUUCCACAGAAUCACAGGAUUGUUUGUGUUGGAAGGAACUUCUGGAGAUCAUCCAGACCAUCCUUCCUGUCCAGAUGGGUUACCUGGUUCAGGUGACACAGGAAUGUGUCCAGACAGAGCUCCUCAACUUCAGAAGGCGAGUGGCUGUUUGAAAUUCCCUGUUCUGACACCACCGCUGGCAAAUCGCUCCUUGAACAACUUAAUGAGAUUCCCAGCGCCAAGAAAGAUGCACACCUUUUCCUGAAUAUGCAAUAAAAUUCUUGUAAUAAACAUAGCUCUAAGGAUCACCGUAUUUCUUAUGAAAAUCUGAAGUUUUCAUAUGCAAAAAGCAAAUUUCUGUUUCUCACGUUUCCACAGAAAAGCUCAGAAGCAUAAAUUUUCGAUACCCACUUCCAAGUAAAUGAGUCAAAUAAAAAAGAAGCCCCCAAACCAUACUUUAAAAGAAAAAAACAACCCAACCCUACCAGGAAC